CACCUCAUAGUAUUAUUUUAUCGCAUGAUAAUGAUAAUUAAAGGUUACGGUACAGGAUGGGCAUGCGUCCUAUUAGCUAGAUGGUAAGGUAACGGCUUACCAUGGCUACGAUAGGUAGGGGGCCUGAGAGGGUGGUCCCCCACACUGGUACUGAGACACGGACCAGACUCCUACGGGAGGCAGCAGUGAGGAAUAUUGGUCAAUGGGCGCAAGCCUGAACCAGCCAUGCCGCGUGCAGGAAGAAUGCCCUAUGGGUUGUAAACUGCUUUUAUUUAGGAAUAAACCUUACUACGUGUAGUAAGCUGAAGGUACUGAAUGAAUAAGCACCGGCUAACUCCGUGCCAGCAGCCGCGGUAAUACGGAGGGUGCAAGCGUUAUCCGGAAUCAUUGGGUUUAAAGGGUCCGCAGGCGGAUGUAUAAGUCAGUGGUGAAAUCCUAUCGCUUAACGAUAGAACUGCCAUUGAUACUGUAC
Molecule: ribosomal RNA, 472 nt
Filed under: uncultured Flavobacteriales bacterium
Lineage: Bacteria; Pseudomonadati; Bacteroidota; Flavobacteriia; Flavobacteriales
Description: bacterial SSU rRNA
Rfam family: Bacterial small subunit ribosomal RNA
Source: RNAcentral